UAGGCAGAGGCCUGUUGGUUGGGGCAUGUAGCUGUUAACUACAGAGUCAUGGGAUCGAAGCCCAUCUGUCUAG
This 73-nucleotide transfer RNA is filed under the name Crithagra dorsostriata (white-bellied canary). RNAcentral describes it as "Serinus dorsostriatus (white-bellied canary) tRNA-Asn". The record is from RNAcentral. Lineage: Eukaryota; Metazoa; Chordata; Aves; Passeriformes; Fringillidae.